Molecule: transfer RNA, 19 nt
Filed under: Eumeces schneiderii
Lineage: Eukaryota; Metazoa; Chordata; Lepidosauria; Squamata; Scincidae
Description: Eumeces schneideri partial tRNA-Met
Source: RNAcentral
CUAGUAAAGUCAGCUAAUU